This is a long non-coding RNA of Girardinichthys multiradiatus, 918 nucleotides long. RefSeq lists it as uncharacterized. The transcript is spliced from 3 exons. The record is from RefSeq and is a predicted model, not a curated record. NCBI's taxonomy places the organism in Eukaryota, Metazoa, Chordata, Actinopteri, Cyprinodontiformes, Goodeidae.
CAUGCCUGGCCUUCCUUUUCAUAAACUAGGUGAGGCAGGCGGAUGGUUAACGAUUUACUUUCGGUUAUAAAAGUUGUUCUGCUGUAAAAGCAACCAGAGGUUCACCUUCACUGUGCCUAUUUACAGCUUGUGGAUGAUCAGUGGAGAAAAGUUAAUACGAGUCCUAAAAAAGAUCAAUCAGCAGCAGCUUCCUAGUCUUUGCUUUUAGAGUCAAGGGAUCCUGACACGUAGCAGCUGUUCAGAAUGCAGGCUUGUGCCAGUUUAGAAGCUCUACUCUGAAGCCACAACAUCCAACAUUUGCUUAAAAGUACUAGAUACACUAGUGUUAAACUGACCUGAUCUGACCUGACCCAAAUAGAUGAGGUACUACUGGACAAAGGGCAUAGAGAUGGUACGAUGGAACGGGAGGACAGAAGAACUGAGGUAUUGUCUUCAGUAACCAAGGUGCUGCUCCAGUUGGUUGUGGUGAAGAAAGAACUGUCCCACUGGGUGGGACCCCAAGAAAGACCCAGAACUCGCUGAAUGAGCUGGAGGAUGUUGCUGGGGAGAGGGAUGUCUGGGGUUUCCUUCUGGACCUUUUGCCCCACGACCCGAUCUCCGAUAAGUGGAAGGCAUUAGAUGGAUGGACUUUGUGGGCUGCACAGUAGAGCAGUUCUUAGCACCGUUGAUUUGCAUGGAAACAUUUAAAGAAAAUAUGUCUGGAAAUAUGUGAAAGAAUGAAUUCUAAAUUUUAAUCCAACGUUUUGCAUAAUUAAUACAUUUAUUGAGACAUUUGCAUGUUUUUAAAGUCUAUCUGGAUUUUGACAGUGUAGAUCUUCCAUGUACAACUGCCACCCUUGCAGUGCCCUGCCCUACCUCCAGAGCUCAUGAAAUCAGAUCAGGAUACGUACUUUAAGUAAAACAGUUUGAACAACUGAU